GAGGGCAUAGCUCAGUGGUAAAAUGCAUGCUUAGCAUGCAUGAGGUCCUGGAUUCAAUCCCCAGUACCCCCC
This 72-nucleotide transfer RNA is filed under the name Camelus ferus (Wild Bactrian camel). It matches the Rfam family "tRNA". From Rfam's summary of the family: Transfer RNA (tRNA) molecules are approximately 80 nucleotides in length. Their secondary structure includes four short double-helical elements and three loops (D, anti-codon, and T loops). Lineage: Eukaryota; Metazoa; Chordata; Mammalia; Artiodactyla; Camelidae. The record is from Rfam by way of RNAcentral.